Long non-coding RNA from Lolium perenne, 1464 nucleotides. RefSeq lists it as uncharacterized. NCBI's taxonomy places the organism in Eukaryota, Viridiplantae, Streptophyta, Magnoliopsida, Poales, Poaceae. The record is from RefSeq and is a predicted model, not a curated record.
AGUAGUGGCCUGGGCAACACCAAUCCAGCGAUGCCCAGCAGAGACGUGAUAGCGGCCGCCGCAUGUGCAGCUACCCGCCGUGUGCCCGUGCAGGAUUUGACCAUGGGCAACACACCGCCAUGUCCAUCCAUAGCCAUCGAUCGGAGCUCCUGUGGCAGACAUGACAGACAUUGACCGGGAUUUCUCCUUGCCCGACCGCCCGACAUGGCCGGGCAACAGCUUGGGGGAGAAUCUUGCCGACGGCAGGUGCGUCCGUACAGAAGCUCCAACCGGGAUAUCUCGAUCGCCAGGGAAGAGACUCGAUCGGGGGAUUGGAAGAUCUGGGACGCAACGCGGCUACACAGGCAGGUACACUCACGAGAAGGCCCGGAUGAACUGGCCGGGAACCGGCUCGCUUCUUGCUUCCCGCCGAUCUUGUUCGCCACCCAGCUGAAAAUCUGCAAGAAAAACAGAGGUUCCAUCCCAUAAGGUACGGCACCACGCAAGCGCAAACAGAGGUUCCAUAGAUGAUCAUCAAUCUCGCCAUCGAUCCAACGCCUUAAUUCAAGGCCAACAUAAAGAUCAUAAUACUGUUGGGCAUGAGAUUACCUUCAUAUUCCCGUUCUGAAUUCUCUGGGGGUUUGGAGUAGUGAGCGGGGUGAGCCUGCUGCAGGCACCAAGACUGAGAGAGAUACUAAAGAAAGAUGGCAAGAGGUAUGAGCGGGUGACUGAGAGAGAUGCAGCGAGGCGAGCGAGAGACUUUGUAGAAGCGUGGUGUUGGUGGUGGCUGCUACUGUCGAUGGAAGAACUGCUGGCGCAUAGUGAGUGGCAGUGAGGCACUACUAGUAGCAGCUAGUUGCUCAUUGGACUGAUUUGAAGGGGGCGGCUCAAGUUCCAAUGCUCUGGAGCGUGGCUGAGAUGAGGUGCUGCUACCUAUACAUACUUCAUCUGGCAUGUCACUUCCAAAUCCUUUUUUUCUUGAGAUGGCGACAUUCCCCUUUAGGAGGAGCAUUAUGAGAUGGCGCCAGCCAAGCCUGACUUGGGUUUACCAACUCAAAGAAUCUCCCCUGUUUGCAAUAUGAUUUAGUAUGAGAUAGUGUUUCUCGAGAGAAAUCUACAGUCUACAUCCGGGGCAAUUGAAAUGAUCUGUCCAAUCUGCCGGGCGGCAAGUGUAAAGUCACUUGUACUCGCGUGAAGAAAGUGCAAGUAACUCAAGUGUCUGCAGUUAAAAUCCUAAAACUGUCACCGAACCAGCGUAAAUGCGUAAUUGCAGAGCGACCCCGCUGGAAUUGAAGGUAAUCAAGGUCAUGUGUUUUGUCAAAUCUGGUGUUUUCCUGAGCGUCUCGUGAGCAUUCCAAGUUUUUCAACCUCAGCAUAUAUACAGUCGAGUUUGCCGUAGAUAGUAACCUCUGUGAUGAACUAAAAUAGCAAAUAUUUUGCUUGAUCCCACCGUGUAGACUUUUCAACGACUGCAAUUUGCAAGUA